Molecule: ribosomal RNA, 286 nt
Filed under: uncultured bacterium
Lineage: Bacteria
Description: partial 16S ribosomal RNA
Rfam family: Bacterial small subunit ribosomal RNA
Source: RNAcentral
AUUGAACGCUGGCGGCGUGCUUAACACAUGCAAGUCGAUCGGUAACAGGUGUAGCAAUACAUGCUGACGAGAGGCGGACGGGUGAGUAAUGCUUGGGAAUCUGUCUAUUAGUGGGGGACGAACCCGGGAAACGUCGGGCGUAAUACCGCAUACGCUCUACGGAGGAAAGCCGGGGACCGCAAGCCUGCGCUAAUAGAUGAGCCCAAGUCGGAUUAGCUAGUUGGUAGGGUAACGGCCUACCAAGGCGACAAUCCGUAGCUGGUCUGAGAGGACGACCAGCCACACC